Long non-coding RNA from Drosophila pseudoobscura, 148 nucleotides. RefSeq lists it as uncharacterized. The record is from RefSeq and is a predicted model, not a curated record. Lineage: Eukaryota; Metazoa; Arthropoda; Insecta; Diptera; Drosophilidae. The transcript is spliced from 2 exons.
UAUUUGAUCACGCCUUUUCAUUUCCUCAUCUACUCGUCGCAAUUCCCUUAACGCAGCUGCUACCUGUGAAUUAAACAUUUAUCAAACAGGCUCUAGUAUAAACACCUGGUCAAUCUGGACAGCGGAUCGAGCCCAUCGAGUUUGCAAC